UACGGAAGGGGCAAGCGUUGUUCGGAAUCAUUGGGCGUAAAGGGCGCGUAGGUGGUUCUGUAUGUCUACCGUGAAAGCAUACGGCUCAACUGUAUUUUGUCGGUAGAAACUGCAGGACUUGAGGCUGGGAGGGGCUGGUGGAAUUCCCUGUGUAGCGGUGAAAUGCGUAGAUAUUCGGAAGAACACCAGUGGCGAAGGCGACUUACUGGACACAUAUUGACGCUGAGGUGCGAAAGCGUGGGGAGCAAACAGG
RNAcentral lists this ribosomal RNA (253 nucleotides) under uncultured bacterium. RNAcentral describes it as "partial 16S ribosomal RNA". It matches the Rfam family "Bacterial small subunit ribosomal RNA", at positions 524 to 776 of the family's 1533-position model. The record is from RNAcentral.